CUCUCAUUCUUUACAUCAUUCUUUACAUUUUUAAGAUCAGUACAUUGGUGGAAAACACGGUUCAUUCAUUGCAUUCACAAAAUGAACCUUUUCUUGUCAAAUUGACCAUAUAAGUUCACAGUUUUUUUUAAUUUAAAUUCUACGAUUGUGUUUUUCAUCCUUGAUUUGGUUCUCGGAUUUUAAAUAUACAUAAGCAUUAACCUUGAUUCUUUUUUUUUUUUUUUUGCGCACUAACCUUGAUUCUAUUCAUUUCAGUUUUUUUGGUCACAAGUUGUAUUAACUUCAGAUAACAAGUGAUAAGAGGUAAUGGCGGUAAAAGGCCAUUCUCAUUGUCAGCCUAGCUAAACAUAGACAACUUCUCGGAUAUCCAAAAGCGUGUGGCAGAGAUUUCGUCGUAGCUCUUGACAAUAUCCAAAAGCGUGCGCUUCUCAAGAACUCAGUCUCCAUUCUUUCACAAGAUGACAAUAUCUCGAAAUGCUUACAAUACCUUCAUUUGGUUGGAUGGAGUGGAAGUGUUUCAUCUUCUGCAGGACAUAAUGUAUACCAGAGCAGUCUGUCUCGUUUACCAUCUCCAGCAGAGAUCAAAAAGACUGGUGUAAUACUCUGUACAAGCUGGUGUCAAAAAUCUUGGUUGCUAAGUAGAAAACUCAUCCUGCCUGGUAUCAAACACCUUUGUUAGCCUAUGAAAUUGUGAGUGGUUACCACAAAGACAAAGGAUUCACAGAUACACUUCAAAGGCACUGGAGGGUUAAGACAGGGUGACCCCUUGUCUAGCACUAAGUAGCUAUCUUUUGCGAGGGAGGCAGGUUUUAAUGCAAUGCAACCCUGUCCUCUCUAUGGCAUGACAGUCAUUGGAUCCUCACUAGUCCCUGGUAGAUCGCCUGGAGAUAAGAAAUUCAAUUGGCUGGUGAAUGGAAACUAACUAUACAUGAGAUCCCUGAUUCGAUUCAAAAAGGGAAUACAAACUUCUGGUGAAACAGAAUCACGGCCUCAAAACCAAGCAGAGAGGCUAGUGCCAAAAUGAGACUUUGGCUCUGUCUCCCUUGUGUGGAUAGGUAAUCCCCCCAGACCUUUCAGAGUUGACUGCCGCACGCUGUUGGGCAAGACCUUAACCAACAUUACAAAUGGGAUUGUAGCUAGAAAAUUUGUUAGCUAAAGAAUAAAGAAGCUGUGGAUUGUUCAUCACCAACCAGUAUACUUAAAAACAGAACUUCAGCAUCCUAGAUUGCUAUUAUCAGAAAGAAAGUUAUUAAGUUCUUCAAGAAUUAGUGUACAAUCUUUCCCUCUAUAAACAAUCCAAUAAUGGAUAAAAUUGUAACAUCCCUGAAUUGUGAGAUACAAUUUUCGAAUCAC
This is a long non-coding RNA of Raphanus sativus (radish), 1353 nucleotides long. RefSeq lists it as uncharacterized. The transcript is spliced from 3 exons. The record is from RefSeq and is a predicted model, not a curated record. Lineage: Eukaryota; Viridiplantae; Streptophyta; Magnoliopsida; Brassicales; Brassicaceae.